GUGCCAGCAGCCGCGGUAAUACAGAGACUGCAAGCGUUGUUCGGAUUCAUUGGGCGUAAAGGGUGCGCAGGCGGUUCGUUAAGUCGGAUGUGAAAUCUCACAGCCUAACUGUGAUAGGUCAUUCGAAACUGGCGGACUCGAGGGCUGGAGAGGAGACUGGAAUAGUCGGUGUAGCGGUGAAAUGCGUAGAGAUCGACUAGAACACCGGUGGCGAAGGCGAGUCUCUGGACAGUUCCUGACGCUCAGGCACGAAAGCCAGGGGAGCAAACGGGAUUAGAUACCCCUGUAGUCC
This 292-nucleotide ribosomal RNA is filed under the name uncultured bacterium. Its description in RNAcentral is "partial 16S ribosomal RNA". It matches the Rfam family "Bacterial small subunit ribosomal RNA", at positions 505 to 796 of the family's 1533-position model. The record is from RNAcentral.